CACGAAGUUAGCCGGGGCUUCUUCUCCGGAUACCGUCAUUAUCUUCUCCGGCGAAAGAGUUUUACAACCCUAAGGCCUUCUUCACUCACGCGGCAUGGCUGGAUCAGGCUUGCGCCCAUUGUCCAAGAUUCCCCACUGCUGCCUCCCGUAGGAGUCUGGGCCGUGUCUCAGUCCCAGUGUGGCUGAUCAUCCUCUCAGACCAGCUAUAGAUCGUAGCCUUGGUGGUCCAUUACACCGCCAACUAGCUAAUCUAACGCGGGCCGAUCCUUCGCCGAUAAAUCUUUCCCAAUACGGCGUAUUCGGUAUUAAACCCAGUUUCCCGGGACUAUUCCGAAGCGAAGGGCACGUUCCCACGCGUUACUCACCCGUCUGCCACUCCCCUUGCGGGCGUUCGACUUGCAUGUGUUAAGCCUGCCGCCAGCGUUCGUUCUGAGCCAGGAUCAAACUCU
Molecule: ribosomal RNA, 449 nt
Filed under: uncultured Alphaproteobacteria bacterium
Lineage: Bacteria; Pseudomonadati; Pseudomonadota; Alphaproteobacteria
Description: partial 16S ribosomal RNA
Source: RNAcentral